Molecule: non-coding RNA, 84 nt
Organism: Lentinula edodes (shiitake mushroom)
Lineage: Eukaryota; Fungi; Basidiomycota; Agaricomycetes; Agaricales; Omphalotaceae
Source: Rfam
GACCCCGUAGCUCAGUGGUAGAGCGUGAGAUUCCAGAGUAGCGGAAUUUCCUCAAGGUCAUCCGUUCAAUCCGGGUCGGGGUCA